UCAAAUGAAUUGAUGAACUCAUCAGGCU
This 28-nucleotide small RNA is filed under the name Bombyx mori (domestic silkworm). RNAcentral's name for it is "ovarian small RNA-24493". Lineage: Eukaryota; Metazoa; Arthropoda; Insecta; Lepidoptera; Bombycidae. The record is from RNAcentral.